ACCUGGGCAUCUUCUUGGAGAACGUGUCUGCACUUGACUGUGUGGUGCGGUAUCCAGGACUUUUACUUUGAGGAAAUUAGAGUGUUUCAAGCAGGCCCACGCCUUGAAUACAUUAGCAUGGAAUAAUAAGAUAGGACCUCGGUUCUAUUUUGUUGGUUUCUAGAGCUGAGGUAAUGAUUAAUAGGGAUAGUUGGGGGCAUUCGUAUUUAACUGUCAGAGGUGAAAUUCUUGGAUUUG
Molecule: ribosomal RNA, 237 nt
Filed under: uncultured eukaryote
Lineage: Eukaryota
Description: partial 18S ribosomal RNA
Rfam family: Eukaryotic small subunit ribosomal RNA (bases 49-237)
Source: RNAcentral